Molecule: ribosomal RNA, 253 nt
Filed under: uncultured bacterium
Lineage: Bacteria
Description: partial 16S ribosomal RNA
Rfam family: Bacterial small subunit ribosomal RNA
Source: RNAcentral
UACAGAGGUCUCAAGCGUUGUUCGGAUUCAUUGGGCGUAAAGGGCGCGUAGGCGGGAUGGCAAGUCGGUCGUGAAAUCCUUCGGCUCAACCGAAGAACGUCGGCCGAUACUGCCGUUCUUGAGGGAUGCAGAGGAGAUUGGAAUUCCCGGUGUAGCGGUGAAAUGUGUAGAGAUCGGGAGGAACACCGGUGGCGAAGGCGGGUCUCUGGGCAUUUCCUGACGCUGAGGCGCGAAAGCGUGGGGAGCAAACGGG